GACGAACGCUGGCGGCGUGCUUAACACAUGCAAGUCGAACGAUAAAAGAGUAGCUUGCUCCUCUUGCUUAGUGGCGAACGGGUGAGUAACACGUAAGCAAUCUGCCCCUGACUUCGGAAUAACUUCGGGAAACUGUAGCUAAUACCGUAUAUGCUCCGACCAGCCAUCUGUAUCGGUGGGACAGAAUUUCUGUCAGGGAUGAGUGCGCGGCCUAGCAGCUUGUUGGUGAGCUAACGGCUCACCAAGGAGACGAAGGGUAGCCGGCCUGAGAGGGUGACCGGCCACAUUGGGACUGAGAGACGGACCAGAGGCGUACGGGAGGCAGCAGGGGGGAAUAUUGCACAAUGAAAGCAAGUCUGAUGAAGAAACGCCGGGGGAGGGAUGACGGCCUUCGGGGUGUAAAACGCUGUUAGCAAGGAAGAAGCGAAAGUGACGGUACCUGAAGAAAAAGCGCCGGCUAACUACGUG
RNAcentral lists this ribosomal RNA (468 nucleotides) under uncultured bacterium. RNAcentral's name for it is "partial 16S ribosomal RNA". It matches the Rfam family "Bacterial small subunit ribosomal RNA", at positions 28 to 507 of the family's 1533-position model. The record is from RNAcentral.